This 1576-nucleotide ribosomal RNA is filed under the name Lactiplantibacillus plantarum. RNAcentral's name for it is "bacterial SSU rRNA". It matches the Rfam family "Bacterial small subunit ribosomal RNA". The record is from RNAcentral. Lineage: Bacteria; Bacillati; Bacillota; Bacilli; Lactobacillales; Lactobacillaceae.
UUAAUUUGAGAGUUUGAUCCUGGCUCAGGACGAACGCUGGCGGCGUGCCUAAUACAUGCAAGUCGAACGAACUCUGGUAUUGAUUGGUGCUUGCAUCAUGAUUUACAUUUGAGUGAGUGGCGAACUGGUGAGUAACACGUGGGAAACCUGCCCAGAAGCGGGGGAUAACACCUGGAAACAGAUGCUAAUACCGCAUAACAACUUGGACCGCCAUGGUCCGAGUUUGAAGAUGGCUUCGGCUAUCACUUUUGGAUGGUCCCGCGGCGUAUUAGCUAGAUGGUGGGGUAACGGCUCACCAUGGCAAUGAUACGUAGCCGACCUGAAGAGGGUAAUCGGCCACAUUGGGACUGAGACACGGCCCAAACUCCUACGGGAGCAGCAGUAGGGAAUCUUCCACAAUGGACGAAAGUCUGAUGGAGCAACGCCGCGUGAGUGAAGAAGGGUUUCGGCUCGUAAAACUCUGUUGUUAAAGAAGAACAUAUCUGAGAGUAACUGUUCAGGUAUUGACGGUAUUUAACCAGAAAGCCACGGCUAACUACGUGCCAGCAGCCGCGGUAAUACGUAGGUGGCAAGCGUUGUCCGGAUUUAUGGGCGUAAAAGCGAGCGCAGGCGGUUUUUUAAGUCUGAUUGUGAAAGCCUCGGCUCAACCGAAGAAGUGCAUCGGAAACUGGGAAACUUGAGUGCAGAAGAGGACAGUUGGAACUCCAUGUGUAGCGGUGAAAUGCGUAGAUAUAUGGAAGAACACCAGUGGCGAAGGCGGCUGUCUGGUCUGUAACUGACGCUGAGGCUCGAAAGUAUGGGUAGCAAACAGAUUAGAUACCCUGGUAGUCCAUACCGUAAACGAUGAAUGCUAAGUGUUGGAGGGUUUCCGCCCUUCAGUGCUGCAGCUAACGCAUUAAGCAUUCCGCCUGGGGAGUACGGCCGCAAGGCUGAAACUCAAAGGAAUUGACGGGGGCCCGCACAAGCGGUGGAGCAUGUGGUUUAAUUCGAAGCUACGCGAAGAACCUUACCAGGUCUUGACAUACUAUGCAAAUCUAAGAGAUUAGACGUUCCCUUCGGGGACAUGGAUACAGGUGGUGCAUGGUUGUCGUCAGCUCGUGUCGUGAGAUGUUGGGUUAAGUCCCGCAACGAGCGCAACCCUUAUUAUCAGUUGCCAGCAUUAAGUUGGGCACUCUGGUGAGACUGCCGGUGACAAACCGGAGGAAGGUGGGGAUGACGUCAAAUCAUCAUGCCCCUUAUGACCUGGGCUACACACGUGCUACAAUGGAUGGUACAACGAGUUGCGAACUCGCGAGAGUAAGCUAAUCUCUUAAAGCCAUUCUCAGUUCGGAUUGUAGGCUGCAACUCGCCUACAUGAAGUCGGAAUCGCUAGUAAUCGCGGAUCAGCAUGCCGCGGUGAAUACGUUCCCGGGCCUUGUACACACCGCCCGUCACACCAUGAGAGUUUGUAACACCCAAAGUCGGUGGGGUAACCUUUUAGGAACCAGCCGCCUAAGGUGGGACAGAUGAUUAGGGUGAAGUCGUAACAAGGUAGCCGUAGGAGAACCUGCGGCUGGAUCACCUCCUUUCUAAGGAA